CCUACGGGAGGCAGCAGUGGGGGAUAUUGGACAAUGGGGGGAACCCUGAUCCAGCGACGCCGCGUGAGUGAAGAAGUAUUUCGGUAUGUAAAGCUCUGUCAGCAGGGAAGAAAGAAAUGACGGUACCUGACCAAGAAGCCCCGGCUAACUACGUGCCAGCAGCCGCGGUAAUACGUAGGGGGCAAGCGUUAUCCGGAAUGACUGGGCGUAAAGGGUGCGUAGGUGGUUUGGCAAGUUUGUAGCGUAACUCCAAGGCUCAACCUUGGAACUACUACUAAAACUGUUGGACUUGAGUGCAGGAGGGGCAACCGGAAUUCCUAGUGUAGCGGUGGAAUGCGUAGAUAUUAGGAGGAACACCAGUGGCGAAGGCGGGUUGCUAGACUGUAACUGACACUGAGGCACGAAAGCGUGGGGAGCAAACAGGAUUAGAUACCCGGGUAGUC
RNAcentral lists this ribosomal RNA (443 nucleotides) under uncultured bacterium. RNAcentral's name for it is "partial 16S ribosomal RNA". It matches the Rfam family "Bacterial small subunit ribosomal RNA", at positions 338 to 795 of the family's 1533-position model. The record is from RNAcentral.